This 320-nucleotide ribosomal RNA is filed under the name uncultured Pseudomonadota bacterium. RNAcentral's name for it is "bacterial SSU rRNA". It matches the Rfam family "Bacterial small subunit ribosomal RNA", at positions 29 to 351 of the family's 1533-position model. The record is from RNAcentral. Lineage: Bacteria; Pseudomonadati; Pseudomonadota.
AUUGAACGCUGGCGGCAUGCCUUACACAUGCAAGUCGAACGUGAAAGGGGGGCAACCCCCGAGUAGAGUGGCGGACGGGUGAGUAAUACAUCGGAACGUGCCCAGUAGUGGGGGACAACCUCGAGAAAUCGAGGCUAAUACCGCAUACGACCUACGGGUGAAAGCGGGGGACCGCAAGGCCUCGCGCUAUUGGAGCGGCCGAUGUCCGAUUAGCUAGUUGGUAGGGUAAAAGCCUACCAAGGCAACGAUCGGUAGCUGGUCUGAGAGGACGACCAGCCACACUGGGACUGAGACACGGCCCAGACUCCUACGGGAGGCAG